RNAcentral lists this ribosomal RNA (173 nucleotides) under uncultured bacterium. RNAcentral's name for it is "partial 16S ribosomal RNA". It matches the Rfam family "Bacterial small subunit ribosomal RNA", at positions 355 to 525 of the family's 1533-position model. The record is from RNAcentral.
UGAGGAAUAUUGGACAAUGGAUGGAAAUCUGAUCCAGCCAUGCCGCGUGCAGGAAGACGGCCCUAUGGGUUGUAAACUGCUUUUGUAUGGGAGCAAUAAGAUCUACGUGUAGAUUGAUGAGAGUACCAUACGAAUAAGCACCGGCUAACUCCGUGCCAGCAGCCGCGGUAAUA